UCGUCACACUAUCAUUAACUGAAUCCAUAGGUUAAUGAGGCGAACCGGGGGAACUGAAACAUCUAAGUACCCCGAGGAAAAGAAAUCAACCGAGAUUCCCCCAGUAGCGGCGAGCGAACGGGGAGGAGCCCAGAGCCUGAAUCAGCAUGUGUGUUAGUGGAAGCGUCUGGAAAGGCGCGCGAUACAGGGUGACAGCCCCGUACACAAAAGCGCAUGUGCUGUGAGCUCGAUGAGUAGGGCGGGACACGUGGUAUCCUGUCUGAAUAUGGGGGGACCAUCCUCCAAGGCUAAAUACUCCUGACUGACCGAUAGUGAACCAGUACCGUGAGGGAAAGGCGAAAAGAACCCCGGCGAGGGGAGUGAAAAAGAACCUGAAACCGUGUACGUACAAGCAGUGGGAGCACCCUUCGGGGUGUGACUGCGUACCUUUUGUAUAAUGGGUCAGCGACUUAUAUUCUGUAGCAAGGUUAACCGUAUAGGGGAGCCGGAGGGAAACCGAGUCUUAAUUGGGCGUUAAGUUGCAGGGUAUAGACCCGAAACCCGGUGAUCUAGCCAUGGGCAGGUUGAAGGUUGGGUAACACUAACUGGAGGACCGAACCGACUAAUGUUGAAAAAUUAGCGGAUGACCUGUGGCUGGGGGUGAAAGGCCAAUCAAACCGGGAGAUAGCUGGUUCUCCCCGAAAGCUAUUUAGGUAGCGCCUCGUGAAUUCAUCUCCGGGGGUAGAGCACUGUUUCGGCUAGGGGGCCAUCCCGGCUUACCAACCCGAUGCAAACUGCGAAUACCGGAGAAUGUUAUCACGGGAGACACACGGCGGGUGCUAACGUCCGUCGUGAAGAGGGAAACAACCCAGACCGCCAGCUAAGGUCCCAAAGUCAUGGUUAAGUGGGAAACGAUGUGGGAAGGCCCAGACAGCCAGGAUGUUGGCUUAGAAGCAGCCAUCAUUUAAAGAAAGCGUAAUAGCUCACUGGUCGAGUCGGCCUGCGCGGAAGAUGUAACGGGGCUAAACCAUGCACCGAAGCUGCGGCAGCGAACGUAUCACCCAAGACAACUUUACGGAGUUGACGAUUGACGGAGCGAAGCGACGUCAAAGCGUUCAUUAAAGUCGAGUUGGCUUAGGGAUACGUUCGUUGGGUAGGGGAGCGUUCUGUAAGCCUGUGAAGGUGUGUCGUGAGGCAUGCUGGAGGUAUCAGAAGUGCGAAUGCUGACAUAAGUAACGAUAAAGCGGGUGAAAAGCCCGCUCGCCGGAAGACCAAGGGUUCCUGUCCAACGUUAAUCGGGGCAGGGUGAGUCGACCCCUAAGGCGAGGCCGAAAGGCGUAGUCGAUGGGAAACGGGUUAAUAUUCCCGUACUUGGUGUUACUGCGAAGGGGGGACGGAGAAGGCUAUGUUGGCCGGGCGACGGUUGUCCCGGUUUAAGCGUGUAGGUGUGUGUUCCAGGUAAAUCCGGUUCACUUUAACACUGAGGCGUGA
Molecule: ribosomal RNA, 1470 nt
Filed under: Salmonella enterica
Lineage: Bacteria; Pseudomonadati; Pseudomonadota; Gammaproteobacteria; Enterobacterales; Enterobacteriaceae
Description: bacterial LSU rRNA
Rfam family: Bacterial large subunit ribosomal RNA
Source: RNAcentral